AAGCGCUCAUGACCAGACUUGGGCUUGGUUGAUCAUCCAGGGUUCUCCCUGGUGCACUCUUCCAGCCCAGGCCAGCAUCAGUUCGCUGUGGGGGAUAAAGGCUUUGGGAAUGUGGCUCCUCCGGGAGUGUUAUAGCCCUAGGCAGAAUACCCUCGUGGGGACUGAGGUUCGCGCUCUGCAAAGACGCUGGCAUAAUGGUCACCAGCGA
RNAcentral lists this ribosomal RNA (208 nucleotides) under Nectriaceae sp. Its description in RNAcentral is "partial large subunit ribosomal RNA". Lineage: Eukaryota; Fungi; Ascomycota; Sordariomycetes; Hypocreales; Nectriaceae. The record is from RNAcentral.